This 13094-nucleotide long non-coding RNA is filed under the name Triticum aestivum (bread wheat). RNAcentral describes it as "long non-coding RNA (TAES_LNC001342)". The stretch from base 2801 to 2915 matches the Rfam family "MIR1120/MIR1122 microRNA precursor family". Lineage: Eukaryota; Viridiplantae; Streptophyta; Magnoliopsida; Poales; Poaceae. The record is from RNAcentral.
ACUUGUUGCAAUCUCUAAAAAGACUUAUAUUUGGAAACGGAGGGAGUACAACACAUGCAUGCAUGCCGUGACUUUCCUUUUGAUACUUGCAUGUGUUGAUUUGAUGCACCUUGCCAAAUUUUGACUAUAAAUUUAACUAGGGAAAACUUUGUUUUUGCCACUCUAACUCUUGCCCACUUCGCUUAUGCCAUUCUAGAAUUUGACAUCUCACUUUUGCCACUCUUAACUUUUGAGAAUAUAUCACAAAUGCCAUUCUAUUACACAUCCGUGAGUUGACUGUUUAUUCUAGCGAGUUGACCAGAAAAAGACUUGUCGGUAUCUGUAAAAUGACAUACGGUGCCCCUACUGACUUGUGGGGCCACUUUGCAAGUGACCCAUAACCAAAACUGUACACACACAAGUAAAAAAAGUCUAAACACACACGAACUACUCCGAUCCAACCACAGCAUACACCCAUCAAAUCCAUGAGAAUAACCUACCACAUUGCAUCCCCCGGCCGUCCGCCGCCACGUCCACACCUCGCCGUCCGCCGCCCCCUCCGGCCUCCCCGGGUCUUCUCCAGCAUCCCCUCCACGCCCUCCUCCUUUGGCCUCGCCGAAGCCUCGCGCAUAUCCGGUCUCCCCUCCGUGGUGCCCUGCUCCGGCCUCGCCAACGCAUCGCGUAUCUCCGGCCUUCCCUCUGCAGCAUCCUUCUCCGGCCUCACUCCUCGACGCGUUCCACACCAGCGACUGCCCUCCCUCCGCCUUUAGCAGAUCCCAUGAAGUGAAUCAAGCACACGGGAUGGAGGGAGCCGUGCCGUCGACCAUGGCGGCAGGGGCGGCCUAGAAGACCUCAAAUCUGAUGGUUCCUCUCCCUGAUGGCAAGUUCUCAAAUCAUACAUUUCCUUAUCUUAUAGAUUCGUUAUGUGUACAUCCAUAUUAGUGUCCUGCUUGGCAUCUUUUUUGUUAUAAAGGGAACAUGUUGUUGAUGUAAAUUUGGCACAAUGACGGUCUCAGUAUAUCCCCAGUAUAUUAAGAUGGAGCCAGGGCUGUUAUAUCUGUAGUUAUUUCUGAUUAGUCACAAGGUGAUGUCCAGUCUUUAACACUAUAGAUGUUAAAUGGAUCUGGCUAAUAUAAAGGAUCACACUAUAGCACUUAUGUACUUGAUGAAUAUUUUUGGCAGUGGUGUCUCCAAGCAAACAGGUUGCCAAUCUUCUGUUUCUUCAUCUUAUAGUUGGGGUUGGUAGUGGUGUCUAGUUAUACACAUGCCCUGUUCCGUGAGUGAAGAACAAGAACAACUAGGGACCUUGCUAUUUAGAUUGGAAGAUGGAUUUGUACUCCUAUGAAGUAAUUUGUUGAUAUUUAGAAUUUCUUAACCUCUUUACUAUGAUGUUAUUAUUGUGCUUAUUUCUGGUCAAAAUAUUGUGUAAUUAUGUGUGAUGUUAGAUUUUCAAAUAGGUCAUGCCAAAAUUUGUAUACCAUCAGCUAAUAAUAUAGUGAAUAUAUACGUUACUCUAAUGGAAAAAUUAAUAUUUGGCAAAAAUAGGAGUGGCAAAAGCAAAACAAAUAACUGACGGCAAUAUGGUCUUUUUCAUGCUUCGUUUGGUCAAAACGUCCAUUGACCUAACAGAAUGGCAUUUCUGAUAUAUUGUCAAAAGCUAUAAGUGGCAAAAGUGAUAUGUCAAUUUUUAGAGUGGCAUAAGUGAAGUUGGCAAAAACUAAAGUGGCAAAAACAAAGUUUUCCCAUUUAACUAACCAAAUUUUCAUGCAUGUCACAAAAAAUUAUGGGGAUGUUUGGAUUGUGACUAUGUUUGUCUUAUGUUGCCACAUUAUUUUUCCCACACUUGCCACACUUGCCUAACCUGAGUUGCUCAAAUUGUUAGACACACUUUGGCUUGUCUAAGGGAAUCUUGCCACAAUUUUUGUGUCUAUGACAUGUGGGGUUCACUGCUAAUAAAAAAAUUCUUUUCUUAGGUGUGGCUAAUAAAAAAGAAUUAUAUUUAGGAACUGAGGGAGUAGAAAAUAUAAAUAAUAAUGCAUGUUGGGGCAACCCACGUUUCCGCUAAUUUUAGCCGUGGGCUUGUUCACAAUUUUUACCAGGGGGUGGUUGUUCAUUUAAUGGAGGGACUUGUAGUACCAGACUUGAACGAUACAAAGUGUGAGCUGGCACACCGUAACACCACUUGGAACAAGAGGGUAGUUAUCUCAAAAAACAAUCAUCAACUAAACAACUGCGACCUAGCAUGUAGUAGUACACAAUUUUAAACGAUUGUUUUAAUGGAGGGAAAAAGGAAAACUACCCCACUACGUAUAUAUAGGCUGAAGCCUCCGCGCUUGCUUGCUAGGGUUGCUCUAUUCACACACUCUCAUCCUCUCCAGAUCUAAACAAGAUAGGGGUAGCAACACUGUCUUCCUCCCUUCAAAAAACACUGGCUUUCUAUCCACACCGCUGGUUACAUAUCCGGACGUAUCCCCCUCCAUCGGUGAAGGGGAGGAGGGGCAGCGUUUAGGCCAUCGUCGACAGCGAGGGAGGAGACCCACUGCCGGCCGCACCAUUAUCUCUGGCUGAGCGCCAGUGCGGGAGGUCCUCCGAUCCCUUCGUCGUUGCCUAUGGGCGGAUCCGGCCUCCCGCCGCCCACCUAUCCACAUCCCGACGACCUUCAGGUAUAUCUUCGUUCGAAACCGCCUUAGCUCUACUUCCCCAGCUCGCUACGUCGCUGCAUGUGCAUCAUUUUCUACCUCUCAGUCCCUCUCGAUCGGAUGGUCAAACGUCACAUUUUUUCUUCUAUUGUUAGAGGUAAAUCUACUUCAUGGAGUCGAAUCUUGUACUCCCUCCGUCCGAAAAUACUUGUCAUUGAAAUGGAUGUAUCUAGAUGUAUUUUAGUUCUAGGCACAUCCAUUUUGAUGACAAGUAAUUCAGGACGGAGGGAGUACUUGGUUCAAACAAGAAAUAAAGUGGGGGUGGGGGAAUUUAGUAUGUACAUUGGACUUGGUACAAACAGGAAGGAAAGGGGGUGAAAGUAGUAUAGACUGCUCAUCCAACCGGUCUCUUGGUCGAAAAGGGAAAUGUAGGGGUAACGCUGUACACAGUGGUAUGACCAGGACUAGAUUUGCUAUCCACACAUAGGAGUAGGUGGCUAGAGUGAACAAAAAUGGGACCAAACCAGAUAUGUUUCUUGGAUGUUUGUUUCUUGGGGCAACAAACUAUGAAUCGCCACUUUAUGCCCCUGUUUACGUACAUGGUGCUGGACUGCUAGUGCACCCACUGUCCCAUGUCCUUAUACCAAAUAUUUAGGCUCCGUUCGGAAUAAAGAGGCAGAAAACAUAGGUCUUGAUGAAAAUAGAGGAAUAGGAAAGGAAUGUAGGUAUAAAACUAUGGAACAGCGAACCGGAGGAAACUCUCAAGAGAAUGUGUUCGGAUGGACUACAAAAUGUACAGAUUUGUUUUUUUAGAGUAGCAUGCUUGGCAGUAUGAGAUGCUAUUUGUUUAUUCAGCUGCACGGUGACUACUCUUGUCCUCACCUCACAUACCACACAUAGGUUGAUUUUUUUAUUCCGGCAACACAGCACAGCAACCUGUCUAACGCAUGGCAGCGAGCGUCUGCCUCGGGCUUCCGCCCAAAAAAAUGAGCAGCGCAUAGAUGCUUCUAAUCCUAUGGAACUAGUACUACCAGACCAGCUUUCCUAUGAAACCCUAUUCACCUUUCCUGUGUUCCGAACAGUUGGAAGGGAAAGAAUACCGUAGGAAUUGGGUUCCUACGAAAAUCCUGCACCAAACCAGUGAACCGAACGCAGCCUUAGUUGUUCUUAAUCUAAUGUCCCUGGUAAAAAUGAAGCCAUGCCACUGUUAUAAGACAUGACAAGUUUAGCCAAAUGUUUUUGCCUGUAAUUGUUUGAGACUCUGACUGUUUCCUCUGUGCCUUUUUGUGCAAACAGGGAUAUCCAAUUCACCUGGUUGCUGUUGUGACCUUUUGGUGCACUGCACAAAACUCUUCUUAAAAGAAGUGACUUUUGUGUUGUUUAACUGGAAUGUCAGAAUGGAACAGUUGGUUCAUUUUGGUGGAACUGCACAAAGGGAGAUCUAUGUUCCAAUCCUCAUCAUCCAUAUUGGCGCCAUAACCUUCCUUUAGGUAAGAACGAUAUUUGAUGCAUGUGUUCAUCUCUAUUUUCCGACUGCCAUGAGAAAAUAAUGUUGUUUUUUUACUAGUACACUUGUACUCCCUCACUGACAAAACCAAUUCUGAAUUAGAAGGCCAAUCAUGUACUUGGUUUCACCAACUGGUGAGGAGAAAGAGAAACAGAGCAUCAAGAGGAAGAAGAAGAAGAAUAAACAGUGCCAAGGCGAUCUUGCUGAAGCCAGAGGCCUCAGUCGAGGCCAUUCAAGGGCUCUGGCAACGACUACCUUACAUUGAGACGAUCCUCCAGGGAGCCCUUCCACUUCUGUUGUCUCACUUAAUUAAUUAGGAGUACUUAAGUACCACUAAUUUAUUACUGCCUAAUUUUCCUGUUGGAGUUAAACAAAUCUUUAGUAGGACCCUAUGAUGAAUCAUGUAUGUGUGUAUGUUUGUCUAUGGAGGUGAAUCAUGUGGUGGAGCAGGGAGGGAAUAUUAUUAGUGUCAUGACAUAAUAGUGCUAUUGUUUUGCAUGUCAAUUUAUUGCCAUUGGUUCAAUGAGGCAAUGUUUUGCAUAUUGUCCAUCAUGAAUUUGAUGCUACUGUUUGAGUAAUAUGCUAAUGUCUUCCUAUCCUUUCUCACUAAGCUAAUGAAGGUUUCACCUUGUUCCUACUUGUGCAAACAUGGAUGAUGUUGUGCCAAUCAUACAUUUUAGUGGAACUACACAAGACAAUACAAUGAAUUGUAUCCCAGCCAGUGCUUUAACUCUGCUGGAAGUUCUUGAUAAUCUUUCGAUAUAAUCUCAGCACUGGUAAACAAGAGUGAUUUCAAUCAUACAUUUGAAGUGCACAAAAAUAUAUACUAUUGUGUGAUUCCAGUGAGUGCUUUAUCAUCUCUUAUGAGACUACAUGAAUAAGCUUUUUUCUCAGGUUGGUACGGGCCUAAGGCCUUCAUCCAUAUUAGUUUGUUGUCAUCUCUAUUUGUAUCGUGCUACUGUCAUGAGAAACUCCUUUAUCUUUGCACGUUAAAGUUUUGCAACCUAUGAUAAAUGGCAAUGCUUUGAGUGUUGAUUUGAGCUAAUUGGCACUGAUUAAGUAAACUAAUACCUCUCUUUAAGCAAGACUACUAUGUUGCUAACUUUACCCAUUAAGAUAAUGAGGGUGCUUCUAUUUGUUAGUGUAUGUUUCAUCAACUAGUCCCACUAUUAUAGUAAUCUCACUCUCUCAAUAUAUGUGCCAAUAGGGAUGCUCGAUUUUGGUGGAACUGCACAAAAACUUUGGGUGCUUCAUUGCCUCGAUAGCUUCCGUCCUUUCCUGUCAGUCGCUAAUCUCCGCUUGCUUUCUUCCUUUGCUGUCAGUCGCUUGGCUUAUCUCGGAUUCUAGUCAAAGGAAAUAGUAAUUGAUAUGCUACCUCACACAGGUUGGUACUGGUCUUUAUCAUGAUUAUUGUGCCUAUCAUGUGUAUUGGUAAUUUGGUAUUGUGCUACUGUUUGCCGAUUUCAUAAAGGAGUAAUUUGGAGCCUGAACUCGCAGGCAAAUCAUUACAUCGGGUGAUUUCAGUAGAACUGCACAAAAUGAUCAGAUGGACAGAUACUUAUGUUGCUGCUAUGUACUCCAAAGUUCACUCAAACAAGCAUCGAUGUUGACAAGAAGUGCCUAUAUUCAUUUGAGUAUCAACCGGCAUCAACCAAUUGUCAAACUCCAAGUAUUAGGAGAGUGAACGCCAAAAAUAUUGCUUGGUGCAUAGCCCAGAGAAACGCAGUCCAGUCUUUGGUCCCAACUUGUGCCUUUUGGUUAUCGGCACAUAUGGUAGCGAACUAUAUGACAUGGAGUCUAAAGAUUCCAAACAAGUUGCUUGACGCGUAUAUUCAUCUGGCACUUAAUCAGUCUGCAUGCCAAGGAUGCUCCAUUUCAGUUGAACUUCACAAAAAAUUUGGGUGGUUCAUUUUAUCAACCGCCUCCUUUCUCGUCUGUAAUGUAGAAUUUUGGCGAGAUACAGGACCAAGAUGAUCCAGUAAACUAGUUGGAUGAAAGUAGUGGCCAAGUUGCUCAAACCUCCCUCGGCACGAGGCCACUAUUUGAGGAUAAACCUACAAGCAAAGUUUAAUUGUCUAUGCUGCCUCUUAUGUACUCAAAAGUUCACUCGUACAAGAACUAAUUUUAGCAAGAAGUACCUCCGAUUGAACACCAUUUACCAGUCUGUACCCUAGGUAAUUAAAGUUCAUCCAUGGAUCAUAUAGGCUGUGAUCUCAAUCAUUUGGAUGCAUAAACAUAAUGAACAUUUGUAUAUCUGAAUCUUUUUGUGAAUUAUGUAUGAAUAUUGUCGUGUGAUCUAUCAAUCAUUUGGAUGCAUAGAUAUGCUGAGCUUGUGUAUAUAUGAAUCUUUUGAGUUGUUGAUAGUGAAUGUUGGCUAUGAAUAUGAACGUGUCCUGUGAACCUGAGUUUGAUAUGAAUUUUUACCUUUUCUGUUGUAUUUGUGUGUGAACUUAUUAGUAUGCCUACUGUGGGGUAUAAAACGCAGGUCUCUUAUAAAAGUAAUGAUGUGUCCAAUUUAUGUUUUCCCUUCUAACCACAUUAUAUAUAUUUAUAUUAUUACUAUUAUCGUAUAUUUUAUAGAGACUUAUAUAUACAUUAUAAAAACAUCACAUGUGUUAUUAACUUAUAAAAGUAAAUGUUUAACGGAAGUUGGCAAGGAAAAUCCUGGUUGUUUUUGACUCACGGGCAAGGAAAAUCCUGGUGAAUGCAUACAAAAGCUUGCAAAGAUUUUAAGGACCAAUUUAAUAAUAACACGCUCAUUUUUAUUUUGAGCAAUAACUCGCUAAUUUCUUAAUUAUAUAUAUAUAUGUGCCUCUCCGGUUUAUUCUUUGAUAUUAAUUGCUCCUUCUAACAUAACAUUAUAUAUAUAACGAGCCCACCUAAUACGUGUAUUUCAAAGAAGUGCAAAUGGGCUGGGAUUUCUUAGAAAAUAUAAAUGGACCUGAUUGACGCAAAAUUAUUUGUUCACCCAGCCUAGAAAAUGGACUGUACAUUCUAGAAAGCAUGGGUUAAAUAUAUGCCACAUUUUUGUAGGCUGACAUGUGGGCCAAUAGGUCGAAGCCUACGCAGGGCAUUGUCAACUUGGUCAACAAAUGAUUGUGUCAUCCACAGCCAUUGGAUUUAUAUCCAAUGGCCGGCAUGCACCUUCAAUCUCUCGUCUUCUUACUCCAGUGUCGCAGGGACCGCCUGGUCCGGCCUCCGGCAGCUAGCGGCUCUGCUUAGCACGCAUCGCUGCGAAGCACUACCCCACCGCCGGCCAGGCUAUCCCUCCACCCCUCGACACCUCCUGUUAUUCUCCACAGACUACGGCCCCACGCCACAACAGAACCAGUUAUAACCCUUCUCCUCCUCUCAAUCUGCGACUCCACUGCCGCGUUUUCCCAUCUCCGAGUCAUUCCCGUCCGGGGCCUCGCCGUCGUCCACCGCCUUGCUGCGUUCGGUGCGGCGUGGUCAACAAACGAGAGUCAUCGGAAGAGGACUAUACGUGGAGAGCCUGACGGCUAGGACCCACGAGGUCCAAGGCCGCAUGCAAGGAAAGUUCCUCCUUAUUAAGCUGAAAAAAAUGUUUCCUCCACCUGACAGCUGGGACCCACCGGCUGUAUCUUCGCAUGGAAGGAAGUGCCUCCUUGUUUUGAGAAAAAAAAUAUUCAUCCCAUUGACAACUGGGACCCGUCAGAUUUGGUGACUGACUUGUGGGCCUACUAAGCGGACGUGUACGCACGGCUUUGUCAACUUAAUCAACAAAUGAUUCUAGCAGCUGGACCGUUGGAUGUUAAUCCAACAACCGUGCUCCUUCUUCAACCUCUGCUCUUGCUCUUGUCUCCCGUGGGCGGCACCGCGGCUGUGCUAUCGCGCACCCGAACUAGUGAAGUUUCCCACUCCUAUCCAUCUGCGACUCCACUGCCCCGUCUUCCCCAUCUCCGGGUCAUUCCAGUCUGGGGGCGCUCGGCAUGGUGUGGUCAACGUGGUCAACAAUCAAGAGUCAUCGGAAGAUGACUGUACAUGAGAGGCUGACAGUGGGGACGCACCACGCCCAUGGACGCAUGCAUGCAACAGAACAUGGCGAGGUCAACAUGGUCAAGGAACGACUUCCAUCGGAAGUAUACUGUACGUGGAGAGCCUUAGCUGGGUCCACGGCCGCAGCAAGUAAGUGCCUCCUUAUUACGCGGAAAAUAAUGGUUCCUCCAACUGACAGCAGGGACCCACUAGACGGGUCACCGUAUUUUGUGAAAAAAAUGUUUGCCCCUGACUGCUGGGACCCACCUGACGGGCCACCGUAUUUCGUGAAAAAAAUGUUCCCCCCGCUGUCAGCUCGGACCCACGGGAGGUGCCUCCUUAUUACGCACAAAAAAAUGAAUACUCCCCGGGCUAGCUGGGACCCACCUUGGUGGGAGGCUGACUUGUGGGCCUACUAAGUUGACAGGGAUGAAGGGCUUUGUCAACUUAGUCAAUAUGAAUGAUUCUAGCUCCAGUGACCGUACGAUGUCCAUCCAAUGGCUGUAGUGCUUCUUCAACCUCUGGUCUUCUUGCUCCAGCCGCCCAAAGCAGCGCCGGUCGUGCCGCAUGCUCCUGCCUCCCGUGGCCGGCUGUGCUGCCGCGGAGGCCUCACCUCCCCCUACUAUUCCCACCGUUGGCUAGGCCUUGCGGUGACGGUAGCCUCACACCGCAGCCGAACCAGUGAACCCUCGUACUCCUCUCUGCGCGGGCUUCCACUGCCGCGUCUUCCCCGGCUCCGCGUCAUCCCCUUCCUAGGCCUCGUCGUCGUCCACCGCCGUGGUGCUCUCCACGCGGCAUGGUCAACGUGGUCAAGGAACGACUUCCAUCGGAAGAGUAUUAUACAUGGAGAGGCUGACAGCUAGGUCCACGGCCACAGCCCAGUUUUGUUGUGAUUUUCCAAGUAAGUCGCUUUGUCAGGCCUGUUGAGCUGCAAAUCUUUCAAGACGAGGAGAGCUUUCAUUAGGCUCGCCGAGAAAAUGGCCCAUCAGUAAUGAGAAAUGGGAUGUACAUUUUUAAAACACAUCGAACCGGCAAUUAGUUUUAAAUAUCUUUUUUUCAUUUUGAGAUUUUAAAUUACAUUAAUUUUUAUGCGUGGAGAAUUUGUUGGAUUUUAUAUUGAUAUACAUUUAUUUUUAAAAUCAGUUUGAAUGUGAGUCGAAAUUUCAGGAUUAAAAACAGUUCGGACCGCACCGAAAUAUGCAAAAUUUCGUAUAAUUUUUUAACCGUGGCCACAAUAUGGGAUGUAAUGCUAACAAAAAGAAUAGGGUUUUUAUCAUUUUUGCCACUAGUUGUGUCCCACUACUCAGUUUUUCCAUUAGAAGUUACAACUACUCAAAAAUGCCAUCGAUCCGUGAGAUGUUUGCUCAAAAAUACCAUCGUUCCGUUAGAUGUUUCCUCAAAAAUGCCAUUAGACAUCAUUAUUUUCACAUCAAACUCAUUGACCAUGUUAUAUGACAAAAAUAAGCCUAGACCCACAUGUCAGUUCUCUCUAUCUCACAAUGAUAAGUGUGGCCCACUUGUCAGGAGUAACCAAGCGAAUAAUUUUAUAGAAAAAUAAGAAUGCCAUUGGGAUCAAGUGGGCCCCACACUUUAUUGUAGUAAGAUAGAAGGAGAGCUGGCAUGCUGGUUCAUAGGUAUUUAUGUCAUUAUAACAUGGCAAAAGAGAUUUGAGAUCACAAUAAUGGUGCCCAGUGGCAUUUUUGAACAUGUGUCUAACAAAGCGAUGGCAUUUUUGAGUAGUUGAAAUUCCUAGUGGCAAAACUGAAUAGUGGGACACAACUGAUGGCAUAAAUGAUAAAAACCCAAAAGAAUAUGGGCUCCAAAAAAACCUUAAUAAUUAGCAAAUGGGCUGUAAAUUAUUAGAAAUAAUGGAAGAUGGGUUGUAUGUUGUUUUCCACAGAUUUGAGGCUUUCCUAAAAAAAGGUUUACGCACAAGCAGUGACUGUUGGAUGGCCAUCCAACGGUCGCCGUGCUUCUUCAAUCUCUGCUCUUCCUGCUCCAGCUGCUCAAACAAGCGCUGGCGGGACUGCCUGCUCCCUCCUCCCCGCGGCCGGCUCUGCUGCCGCGCAGGCCUCACCGCCCCAUCGUACUCCCAUCGCUGGCCUAGCUAUCCCUCUACUCACCCACACCUGUUGUUAUUCUCCGGCGACGGCAGACGAACCAGUAAACCCUCAUACAGUCGUACUCCCCUCCACGUGGGAAACAACUGCCGAGUCUUCCCUGCCUCCGUCUCGUUCCCUUCCUAGGCCUAGCCGUCGUCCACCACCCUGGUGCUCUCGGCGCGGCCUGGUCAACGUGGUCAACGACCGACAAGCAUCUGAAGUGGACUAUACGUGAAGAGGCCGACAGCUAGGUCCACGGCCGCACGCAAGGAAAUGCCUCCUUAUUACGCGCAAAAUAAUGAUUCAUCCACCUGACAUCAGGGACCCACCGAAAGGGCCUCUGUAUUUCACGAAAAAAACAUUACCGCCGCUGACAUCUCGGACCCACCAGCUAUAUCUUCGCAUGCAACGAACUGCCUCCUUAUUACGCACAAAAAAAUGAAUACUCCCCCUGUUAGCUGGGACCCAGUAUAGUGGCAGGCUGACUUGUGGGCCUACUAAGUUGACGAGGACGGAGGGCUUUGUCAACUUAGUCAAUAUGCAUGAUUCUAGCUCCAGUGACCGUACGAUGUCCAUCCAACGGCGGUAGUGCUUCUUCAACCUCUGGUCUUCUUGCUCCAGCCACCCAAACCAGCGCCGGUCGUGCCUCGUGCUCCUGCCUCCCGUGGCCGGCUGUGAUGCGGUGGAGGCCUCACCACCCCCUUCUACUCCCACCGCUGGCCAGGCCAUCCCUCUACUCACCCACACCCCCUGUUAUUCUACGACGACGGCAGCCUCACACCGCAGCGAACUAGUGAACCCUCGUACUCCUCUACGUGUGGGCAUCCACUGCCGCGUGUUCCCCGGCUCCGCGUCGUCCCCUUCCUACGCCUCGCCGUCGUCCACCGCCCUGGUGCUCUCGGCGCGGCGUGGUCAACAUGGUCAAGGAAUGGCUUCCAUCGGACGUGGACUGUACGUGGAUUGGCUGACAGCUGGGUCCACGGCCGUAGCAAGGAAGUGCCUCCUUAUUACAUGCAAAAUAAUUAUUCCUCCACCUGACAGCGGGGACCCACCAAACGGGCCACCAUAUUUCACGAAAAAAAUGUUUGCCCCUGACUGCUGGGACCCACCAGCUACAUCUUCGCACGCAAGGAAGUGCGCCCCGGCAAAAAAAUGAUUCGCGCCCCUGACUGCUAGGACCCACCAGCUACAUCUUCGCAGGCAAGGAAGUGCCUGACAGUCGGGACCCACCUGGUCGAAGCGUACGUAGCGUUGUCAUUCUGGUUGCCAAUGUGUAUGUACAUAUAUACUGGUGGAUGUAGAGGCGCGCACGUGUCGUAUUAAAGGCGCGUACGUGUCAUAGUAGAGGCGCGCACGUAGCAUGUACACGUACGUACAGCGGCCAGGGUGCAAGAAAGAAAAUACGGCCACGUAUGUGUACAUACGGGCGGGGUCUCGAAUGCCUACUCGCGCAUACGUACGGCCAGGGCUCAUGUACAUGGCUGGGUCGAAACAGAGAAAUAGCCUCGUCGUCGUGUUCAUGGGGAGGCAACGGAAUGCGUCGUGUUCAUGGGGAGGCAACGGAAUGUGUCGUGUUCAUGGGGAGGCAACGGAAUGCGCCGUGUUCAUCAGGAGGCAACGGAACGCGUGGGAGCCAACCGGCUGGGUCAAAACGGAAUGCGUGGUCAUGUUCAUCGGGAGGGCUUGGACGGAAUAGGCGAUGGAAACGAGGCCUGGCGUACUGCACAACGGAGGAACAAACAUCCUACGUUCGGAACGGGGUCCUGUUGAUCGGGAGGGGUGUGGCGUACCACAAAACAGAGGAAACGGACCUCCUACGGUCGAAAUGGGGGUCCUGUUGAUCGGGAGGGGUGUGGCGUACCGCAAAACGGAUGAAACGGACCUCCUACGGUCGAAACAGGGGUCAUGUUCAUUGGGAGGGGUGUGGCGUACCGCUAAACGGACGAAACGGACCUCCUACGGUCAAAACGGGGGUCCUGUUCAUCGGGAGGGGUGUGGCGUACCGCAAAAUGGGACUCCACGGGAUACUGUUCAUCUCCACCGUCGACCUCCUCCAGCCUCCACGGGCUACCGUCGACCUCCUCCAGCCUCCACGGGCUCCUGUUCAUCCAGCCUCCACCGCGCGCUACUCCACCGGCUACUGUUCAACCACCCCUCCAUGGGCACCCCUCCACCGUCUACUGUUCAUCCAGCCCUCCACACCAUGGGGUCUUGUUCAACCACCCCUCCACGGGCACCCCUCCACCGUCUACUGUUCAUCCAGCCCUCCACCACACCACGGGGUCCUGUUCAUCCAGAGGCAGCGCCACCGCUCACUGUUCAUCCAAACCCCCCAGCAACGCUCACUGUUCAUCCCAGAGGCAGCAUCGAUCGGCACUGUUCAUCCUAGAGGUAGCAGUAGCGAAGGAAUCGCUCGAUCGGGUUCAGUUAGCAGCAGUAGCGAAGGAAUCGCUCGAUCGGGUUCAGUUAACAGCCAUCGAUCGAUCGCUCGGGUUCAGUAACGUGUAGCCUGCAGUGCAAUCGCUCGAGUUCAGUUAGAGCCCAACGCCUCGCUCGGGUUCAGUUAGAGCCAACGCCUUGCACACAUGCACGUACGUGUACGAGAGAAACGUGCAUCGCUCGGCCCCCGACCUCCCACCAUAACCGGGAACUCCCCGAAAUUUUCCUCGCCCUCACUUCUACCACGGUUUUUUCCGUCAUGGACUGCCCAAAGAAUGUCAUGCAGCUGCAUCUCCGGCCCGCCCAGGACGAAAAGCCCAUUUUCUGUCAUGAUUUUUUAUCAUAGAAGUAGGAGCCCACCACAUCUAUGAUGAUACCGGGUUUUGUCACAAUUAUCGUAAUAGAAGUGUCAUAUGUAUGACAGAAAAAAAA